RNAcentral lists this ribosomal RNA (2129 nucleotides) under Escherichia coli HVH 195 (3-7155360). RNAcentral's name for it is "bacterial LSU rRNA". It matches the Rfam family "Bacterial large subunit ribosomal RNA", at positions 1 to 2157 of the family's 2925-position model. Lineage: Bacteria; Pseudomonadati; Pseudomonadota; Gammaproteobacteria; Enterobacterales; Enterobacteriaceae. The record is from RNAcentral.
UUAAGCGACUAAGCGUACACGGUGGAUGCCCUGGCAGUCAGAGGCGAUGAAGGACGUGCUAAUCUGCGAUAAGCGUCGGUAAGGUGAUAUGAACCGUUAUAACCGGCGAUUUCCGAAUGGGGAAACCCAGUGUGUUUCGACACACUAUCAUUAACUGAAUCCAUAGGUUAAUGAGGCGAACCGGGGGAACUGAAACAUCUAAGUACCCCGAGGAAAAGAAAUCAACCGAGAUUCCCCAAGUAGCGGCGAGCGAACGGGGAGCAGCCCAGAGCCUGAAUCAGUGUGUGUGUUAGUGGAAGCGUCUGGAAAGGCGCGCGAUACAGGGUGACAGCCCCGUACACAAAAAUGCACAUGCUGUGAGCUCGAUGAGUAGGGCGGGACACGUGGUAUCCUGUCUGAAUAUGGGGGGACCAUCCUCCAAGGCUAAAUACUCCUGACUGACCGAUAGUGAACCAGUACCGUGAGGGAAAGGCGAAAAGAACCCCGGCGAGGGGAGUGAAAAAGAACCUGAAACCGUGUACGUACAAGCAGUGGGAGCACGCUUAGGCGUGUGACUGCGUACCUUUUGUAUAAUGGGUCAGCGACUUAUAUUCUGUAGCAAGGUUAACCGAAUAGGGGAGCCGAAGGGAAACCGAGUCUUAACUGGGCGUUAAGUUGCAGGGUAUAGACCCGAAACCCGGUGAUCUAGCCAUGGGCAGGUUGAAGGUUGGGUAACACUAACUGGAGGACCGAACCGACUAAUGUUGAAAAAUUAGCGGAUGACUUGUGGCUGGGGGUGAAAGGCCAAUCAAACCGGGAGAUAGCUGGUUCUCCCCGAAAGCUAUUUAGGUAGCGCCUCGUGAAUUCAUCUCCGGGGGUAGAGCACUGUUUCGGCAAGGGGGUCAUCCCGACUUACCAACCCGAUGCAAACUGCGAAUACCGGAGAAUGUUAUCACGGGAGACACACGGCGGGUGCUAACGUCCGUCGUGAAGAGGGAAACAACCCAGACCGCCAGCUAAGGUCCCAAAGUCAUGGUUAAGUGGGAAACGAUGUGGGAAGGCCCAGACAGCCAGGAUGUUGGCUUAGAAGCAGCCAUCAUUUAAAGAAAGCGUAAUAGCUCACUGGUCGAGUCGGCCUGCGCGGAAGAUGUAACGGGGCUAAACCAUGCACCGAAGCUGCGGCAGCGACGCUUAUGCGUUGUUGGGUAGGGGAGCGUUCUGUAAGCCUGCGAAGGUGUGCUGUGAGGCAUGCUGGAGGUAUCAGAAGUGCGAAUGCUGACAUAAGUAACGAUAAAGCGGGUGAAAAGCCCGCUCGCCGGAAGACCAAGGGUUCCUGUCCAACGUUAAUCGGGGCAGGGUGAGUCGACCCCUAAGGCGAGGCCGAAAGGCGUAGUCGAUGGGAAACAGGUUAAUAUUCCUGUACUUGGUGUUACUGCGAAGGGGGGACGGAGAAGGCUAUGUUGGCCGGGCGACGGUUGUCCCGGUUUAAGCGUGUAGGCUGGUUUUCCAGGCAAAUCCGGAAAAUCAAGGCUGAGGCGUGAUGACGAGGCACUACGGUGCUGAAGCAACAAAUGCCCUGCUUCCAGGAAAAGCCUCUAAGCAUCAGGUAACAUCAAAUCGUACCCCAAACCGACACAGGUGGUCAGGUAGAGAAUACCAAGGCGCUUGAGAGAACUCGGGUGAAGGAACUAGGCAAAAUGGUGCCGUAACUUCGGGAGAAGGCACGCUGAUAUGUAGGUGAAGUCCCUCGCGGAUGGAGCUGAAAUCAGUCGAAGAUACCAGCUGGCUGCAACUGUUUAUUAAAAACACAGCACUGUGCAAACACGAAAGUGGACGUAUACGGUGUGACGCCUGCCCGGUGCCGGAAGGUUAAUUGAUGGGGUUAGCGCAAGCGAAGCUCUUGAUCGAAGCCCCGGUAAACGGCGGCCGUAACUAUAACGGUCCUAAGGUAGCGAAAUUCCUUGUCGGGUAAGUUCCGACCUGCACGAAUGGCGUAAUGAUGGCCAGGCUGUCUCCACCCGAGACUCAGUGAAAUUGAACUCGCUGUGAAGAUGCAGUGUACCCGCGGCAAGACGGAAAGACCCCGUGAACCUUUACUAUAGCUUGACACUGAACAUUGAGCCUUGAUGUGUAGGAUAGGUGGGAGGCUU